GUGCUUGCUUUGGCAGCAUAUAUACUAAAAUUGGAACAAUACAGAAAGAUCAGCAUUGGCCCCUCUGCAAAGAAUGACAUGAAUAUUUGUGAGGUGUUCCAUAUUUUA
Small nuclear RNA from Peromyscus maniculatus bairdii (prairie deer mouse), 108 nucleotides. NCBI's taxonomy places the organism in Eukaryota, Metazoa, Chordata, Mammalia, Rodentia, Cricetidae. The record is from Ensembl.